UACGCAUGUAUAUGUAUGCAUG
This 22-nucleotide microRNA is filed under the name Monodelphis domestica (gray short-tailed opossum). RNAcentral describes it as "mdo-miR-7399-3p". Lineage: Eukaryota; Metazoa; Chordata; Mammalia; Didelphimorphia; Didelphidae. The record is from miRBase by way of RNAcentral.